This 254-nucleotide long non-coding RNA is filed under the name Serinus canaria (Common canary). RNAcentral describes it as "lncRNA (ENSSCAG00000012470.1)". The record is from RNAcentral. Lineage: Eukaryota; Metazoa; Chordata; Aves; Passeriformes; Fringillidae.
AGGCAAAAGGCUUGUCAGUAUUUGCUGUGACUAUGCAAAAUCUGUUUCAUGUGAGAUGACUGUAUCAAAGUCGACAGGGUCUUGAAAAAUGACCUGGACACAAAGACGUGCUCGAAUCCCUCCCAUUCUAGACAAGAUGUGUUAAUGGUAUCAAGAAUGAUUUAACCUCGUCUCACCUACUCCAGUGAUUGGGCACGGUGUGCUACUUUUCGGGCAGAAAAUGGCGAAGAUUUGUGCGGCCGAGGGGCCUCCGG